This 603-nucleotide long non-coding RNA is filed under the name Homo sapiens (human). Its description in RNAcentral is "HSALNT0169430". The record is from RNAcentral. Lineage: Eukaryota; Metazoa; Chordata; Mammalia; Primates; Hominidae.
CUGUGGCUUCCUCCCUGUUCUUCCGCUCACGAUGGAGUGGUGGUUCCACUCUGUAGCAUGGUAGUAGGAAUCCCUUACUUGAGCAUCUGCAUAUCCAGCACCUUAUCGGGUCCUCCCCCAAGGUGAGGGCAUGUGGCUCAUUAUUUCUGUGCAGCUAAUGAGCCAAAGGAGACUUGGGAACUUAGACCACCUGGCACAGGUUCACUGGCUCUAAGUCGGGUGUCUGUGUCCCCCGCUGCCCCCUGGCGAAAGCGGCUGGUGGAGCCACUGUAGCCUGGAGCUCGCACCCCUCCAUCAGCCCUGCAGCCCCUGCCUCAGGGCUGACAGCCCACCACCCACCACUCACUCUCCCGCCUCCCAGCCUCAGGUAUCAAGUGUCUUUCACAGAGGUGACAUCAGUGUCUCUUGUAAAAGAAGUAAGGGAUGUGUAAGAGCUGGACAUGAAAGGUUACUCUUUGGCCCCAACCCCUUCCAUGCCUCCCCGACCCAAACUCCCUCCAUGAAGGUUCUGGAACAUCCUUCCAGCCCUUUUCUAAGCAUUUACAUACAUAUUCAUGUGAAUAUAUUUUAAAAUGAAUGUUGCCAUACAAUAUAUAUCGUACU